This is a long non-coding RNA of Thunnus maccoyii (southern bluefin tuna), 602 nucleotides long. RefSeq lists it as uncharacterized. The record is from RefSeq and is a predicted model, not a curated record. NCBI's taxonomy places the organism in Eukaryota, Metazoa, Chordata, Actinopteri, Scombriformes, Scombridae. The transcript has 2 exons.
CAUAUAAAUGGGCUAAAUAUCAGUUAAGACAUAGUAAAGGAGUAAAAGACAAAUUCUAGAGAAGGGAUAAAAUCAUAGGGGUAAAAAAAAAUCAAUUAAAGGCAAGGUCAUAUAAGUAGGUUUUGAGUUGCUUCUUAAAACUGUCAACCGAGGUUGCCUGUCUAAUAUGAGGAGGGAGCAUGUUCCAAAUCCUCGGUGUAUAACAACUGAAGGCAGCAUCGCCAUACCUCUUGCUGUUCGUCAGUGGCACCUUUAGCGGACGAGCACCAUGCGAUCUGAGGGAGCGAUUUGGAAUAUACUCCGACAGAGAAUCUGACAGGCUCAGAAAAUAAUCAGAGGGGGCAUCUGAACUGUUUGAGACCUGCAGCCUGCAGCAUAAAGAGGGAUUCAGAUUGGGUUGACCCAGGUGGAGGUCUCCUCAGCUCACAGACGAGGCCAAAUCAAUGAGGGGUGCAGUGAAAUGCAGACAGCAAACCCCACCGGGAAGGUGUUUGGAUGCAGAGCCACAGGCAGAGGAGGGAUGUGAAUGUAGAUGAGAAUUCACAUGGCGAGGACUCACAUAAGCAUGAGAGGUGAAUAAAUGAGCCCUGACAGGAACCAUA